GGCAGAGUCAGCUAAAAAAGCUCUUGGACCCAUACUCCGAACAUGAUGGUUAAAAUCCCUCCUCCGCCA
Molecule: transfer RNA, 69 nt
Filed under: Dawkinsia denisonii (Denison barb)
Lineage: Eukaryota; Metazoa; Chordata; Actinopteri; Cypriniformes; Cyprinidae
Also listed under: 1 other name
Description: tRNA-Met
Rfam family: tRNA
About the family: Transfer RNA (tRNA) molecules are approximately 80 nucleotides in length. Their secondary structure includes four short double-helical elements and three loops (D, anti-codon, and T loops). Further hydrogen bonds mediate the characteristic L-shaped molecular structure. tRNAs have two regions of fundamental functional importance: the anti-codon, which is responsible for specific mRNA codon recognition, and the 3' end, to which the tRNAs corresponding amino acid is attached (by aminoacyl-tRNA synthetases). tRNAs cope with the degeneracy of the genetic code in two manners: having more than one tRNA (with a specific anti-codon) for a particular amino acid; and 'wobble' base-pairing, i.e. permitting non-standard base-pairing at the 3rd anti-codon position.
Source: RNAcentral